AUGACACCACUCCCACUGCAACCAUGGAGACCAGUUUAUGGGAGGCAGUGUUUGUUGUUGUUUUUUAAUUUCCCCUCCUUCCCUCCCUCCCUCCCUUCUUCCUCUCUUUCCCGCCUUCUUUCUUCUCUCCCUCCUUCUCUUCCUUCCUUCCUCCCUCUCCCCCUCCAUCUUUCUCUUCCUCCUUCCCUCCCUCCUUUUUUCUUCCUCCCUCCUUUUCUUCCUUCCUUCCCUCCCUCCCUUCUUUCAUCUUUUUUUGUAGAAAACAUCAGCCUAACCCAUUCCCACCUGUCAGGAACCAUCCCCUGGCCUUUCAGCUCCUUCCCAGAACUAUUUGGCAACUGGACAUCCUGCAGGAGAAUCAGAGGUGGGAAAGCAAAGAGACUGAACAUCUGUUACCUAAGGAAGAAGCCAGCAGUCAGGCUGUUCCUCUUGCUGCCGGUGGAGGAACCAAGGCCGGCAAACCGGGGAUUGUCUUGUCUGGUGAGAAGUGGGGCCUUUUCUCCAUGGUGGCUGAGAAGGUAUCUUCUUUUUCUAUUGCUGCUGUAACAAAUGACAAUAGAAAAUUAACAAAU
RNAcentral lists this long non-coding RNA (572 nucleotides) under Bos indicus x Bos taurus (hybrid cattle). Its description in RNAcentral is "lncRNA (ENSBIXG00005022927.1)". The record is from RNAcentral. Lineage: Eukaryota; Metazoa; Chordata; Mammalia; Artiodactyla; Bovidae.